UACAGAGGUCUCAAGCGUUGUUCGGAUUCAUUGGGCGUAAAGGGUGCGUAGGUGGCGCGGUAAGUCGGGUGUGAAAUCUCGGAGCUUAACUCCGAAAUUGCAUUCGAUACUGCCGUGCUCGAGGACUGGAGAGGAGACUGGAAUUCAUGGUGUAGCAGUGAAAUGCGUAGAGAUCAUGAGGAAGACCAGUGGCGAAGGCGGGUCUUUGGACAGUUCCUGACGCUGAGGCACGAAGGUCAGGGGAGCAAACGGG
RNAcentral lists this ribosomal RNA (253 nucleotides) under uncultured bacterium. RNAcentral's name for it is "partial 16S ribosomal RNA". It matches the Rfam family "Bacterial small subunit ribosomal RNA", at positions 524 to 776 of the family's 1533-position model. The record is from RNAcentral.